UACGAAGGGUGCAAGCGUUAAUCGGAAUUACUGGGCGUAAAGCGCGCGUAGGCGGAUCGCUAAGUCAGGGGUGAAAUCCCAAGGCUCAACCUUGGAACUGCCUUUGAUACUGGCGAUCUGGAGAUCGGGAGAGGUGAGUGGAAUUCCGAGUGUAGAGGUGAAAUUCGUAGAUAUUCGGAGGAACACCAGAAGCGAAGGCGGCUCACUGGCCCGAUACUGACGCUGAGGCGCGAAAGCGUGGGGAGCAAACAGG
Molecule: ribosomal RNA, 253 nt
Filed under: uncultured bacterium
Lineage: Bacteria
Description: partial 16S ribosomal RNA
Rfam family: Bacterial small subunit ribosomal RNA
Source: RNAcentral